Molecule: long non-coding RNA, 799 nt
Organism: Vigna unguiculata (cowpea)
Lineage: Eukaryota; Viridiplantae; Streptophyta; Magnoliopsida; Fabales; Fabaceae
Source: RefSeq, a predicted model, not a curated record
AACACUAAAGUCAAUUUAUCCCUUGUGCUCAUUUUUUCAACUCAUUGGACCUCGCACCCGUCGUUUUCUACCACAACACGCCGUCGUCAGCCAACGACAGAUCUUCAUGAAGCUCACCAAAACCAUUGUGGCUGCGAGAGCAGUACUCGUUGGAGAUCGAACUUAUCUAUCAAAAAAAUCGCGCGUGACCCACAUAAAUCAUUUUCCUCGUGUCAUAGUUCAGAUCUCCACCGAUCGACCCUAAGAGUUCGCCAAAACUCGUUGUUGCAAGUCACGCACAACACAGAUCGUGGCCAACAACCCAUGAGGUUUUGAGGUUCUCCCAUCAAGAACUACAAAAUUUAAGUUACAACUACAAAGGCCAAUGGCAUUGGAGUUAUUGGGCUUGACAAGUGGUGGAUAAAACAACAUGGUAUAUAACAGAGUCUAAGUUGGAAACACAGAAAAAUUACACGAAUAAAGGCUGAGAGAUUCCAAUUUCCACAUCAGAGGGAAGAAGCAAAAAAAGAAGUAGGCACACUUUCCACCUAUGCUUUCUUCAUACAGGUGGUGAGCACAAAGGCACUGGAUGUUGGAACCGGAUGUUGCAAGUGGUCCUCCAUCAUUAAAUGAUGUAAGGAGAUGAAGCACAUGAGAUUAUGCUAGUUAGGAACAUAAGUAUAGAGAUUUUGGAAAAUGUUAUGAUAAUGUAAGAACCUAAGUAUUUAUUUGCUAGAUUAUGGUUUUUUUAACACGUAAAUGUUUUGGUGAUGUAUUGGAUAAUGUGAACCUUAAUAUGAACUAUGAAUGAAAGUAUUUG